UACGUAGGGUGCGAGCGUUAAUCGGAAUUACUGGGCGUAAAGCGUGCGCAGGCGGUUCGUUGUCGUCGGCGGUGAAAGCCCCGGGCUUAACCUGGGAAUGGCCCGUCGAAACUGGCGAACUGGAGUGUGGCAGAGGGGGGUGGAAUUCCGCGUGUAGCAGGUGAAAUGCGUAGAGAUGCGGAGGAACACCGAUGGCGAAGGCAGCCCCCCUGGGCUGACACUGACGCUCAGGCACGAAAGCGCUGGGGAGCAAACAGG
Molecule: ribosomal RNA, 258 nt
Filed under: uncultured bacterium
Lineage: Bacteria
Description: partial 16S ribosomal RNA
Rfam family: Bacterial small subunit ribosomal RNA
Source: RNAcentral